This 72-nucleotide transfer RNA is filed under the name Vaucheria litorea. Its description in RNAcentral is "tRNA-Gln". Lineage: Eukaryota; Xanthophyceae; Vaucheriales; Vaucheriaceae. The record is from RNAcentral.
UUGGGGUGGGAGGACUCGAACCUACGAAUGGCGGAUUCAAAGCCCGCUGCCUUACCACUUGGCUACACCCCA